AUACAGUAAAAUACCUAUAAAUUAAUAAUGUUGAAACUGCAAAAUUUUAUUAAUUUAGAGAGGUUUUAAUUUAUCGAUAAAUUAAUAUGUACUAAUUUAUAAAGAGAUUUUCCUAAUUUAGUAACUUUUAA
RNAcentral lists this small RNA (131 nucleotides) under Arabidopsis thaliana (thale cress). RNAcentral describes it as "ATSL152850". Lineage: Eukaryota; Viridiplantae; Streptophyta; Magnoliopsida; Brassicales; Brassicaceae. The record is from RNAcentral.